GUUUCCGUUUGGUGAACCUGCGGAGGGAUCAUUACACAAAUAUGAAGGCGGGCUGGAACCUCUCGGGGUUACAACCUUGCUGAAUUAUUCACCCUUGUCUUUUGCGUACUUCUUGUUUCCUUGGUGGGUUCGCCCACCACUAGGACAAACAUAAACCUUUUGUAAUUGCAAUCAGCGUCAGUAACAAAUUAAUAAUUACAACUUUCAACAACGGAUCUCUUGGUUCUGGCAUCGAUGAAGAACGCAGCGAAAUGCGAUAAGUAGUGUGAAUUGCAGAAUUCAGUGAAUCAUCGAAUCUUUGAACGCACAUUGCGCCCUUUGGUAUUCCAAAGGGCAUGCCUGUUCGAGCGUCAUUUGUACCCUCAAGCUUUGCUUGGUGUUGGGCGUCUUGUCUCUAGCUUUGCUGGAGACUCGCCUUAAAGUAAUUGGCAGCCGGCCUACUGGUUUCGGAGCGCAGCACAAGUCGCACUCUCUAUCAGCAAAGGUCUAGCAUCCAUUAAGCCUUUUUUUCAACUUUGACCUCGAUUAAAGGUAGGAAGCGAAAUUGGGGAGGAAAAU
This 558-nucleotide ribosomal RNA is filed under the name fungal sp. RNAcentral's name for it is "eukaryotic LSU rRNA". The stretch from base 200 to 353 matches the Rfam family "5.8S ribosomal RNA". Lineage: Eukaryota; Fungi. The record is from RNAcentral.